UUGUAAAUCAUUUGCGGCGCAAUUGAAAUUCGAUUCUUUGAACUAGCACAAAUUAUGCGAAUAUUCAUGUUUCAAAUUGAGACAUAUCAGAGCAAUAAAUUUUUCAAAAUGUGACAUUUUGUAGUAUUUGUCGGUAUUGCACAGAACUGUAUAAAUACUCCGUAAAUGAAUGGUGGAAAUCAUUCGCAAUUCCAACUACGCAAGUACAUUUUACAGAAGCAUUUGGAUCUUGGAAAAUCAAAAAAAAGAGAAAUGGCGUUCGGUUAUUUAAUGAACAUUGCAGUUAUGACGGUGCUCGCUGUUUGUCAGUUUGCUGUGUUUGCUGAAGCUCAAUUUGGAAGCAGCAGGAUAGGAACAGGAGGAGGAGUCGGAGGAGGAGGACAUGGAGGAGCUGUCGGAAAAUGAAUAUCAGUUCGUGUUCGAGGAAAUCAUGUUGCAGAAUCAAUCAAAUUAAGCAUACUUAUUCAAACCACAAUGGUCACCAAAUUUAUCAAUUUACCGGAAUUCACGUUUAUUUAGUUUAAGGUUUAAUGUACGCGUACUUGGGUAUCUAGUUCUUAUUCGCACACCAUAAUAAAAUAAAUUCAGCAUCUUAAAUGGC
This is a long non-coding RNA of Planococcus citri (citrus mealybug), 601 nucleotides long. RefSeq lists it as uncharacterized. NCBI's taxonomy places the organism in Eukaryota, Metazoa, Arthropoda, Insecta, Hemiptera, Pseudococcidae. The transcript has 2 exons. The record is from RefSeq and is a predicted model, not a curated record.